GACGAACGCUGGCGGCGUGCUUAACACAUGCAAGUCGAACGGAGUUACGUAUGAAGUAUUUCGGUACGGACUAUGUAACUUAGUGGCGAACGGGUGAGUAACACGUGGGCAACCUGCCCUUAACCGGGGGAUAACAUUGUGAAAACAGUGCUAAUACCGCAUAACAGAGUAUCGGGCAUCCGAUAUUUUUAAAAGGAGCAAUCCGGUUUAGGAUGGGCCCGCGUCCAAUUAGCUAGUUGGUGAGGUAACGGCUCACCAAGGCUACGAUUGGUAGCCGAACUGAGAGGUUGAUCGGCCACAUUGGGACUGAGACACGGCCCAGACUCCUACGGGAGGCAGCAGUGGGGAAUAUUGGGCAAUGGGCGAAAGCCUGACCCAGCGACGCCGCGUGAAGGAUGAAGGUCUUCGGAUUGUAAACUUCUUUGAUCAGGAAGAAAGAAAUGACGGUACCUGAAGAACAAGCCACGGCUAACUACGUGCCAGCAGCCGCGGUAAAAGUCAACGUCG
This 507-nucleotide ribosomal RNA is filed under the name uncultured bacterium. Its description in RNAcentral is "bacterial SSU rRNA". It matches the Rfam family "Bacterial small subunit ribosomal RNA", at positions 28 to 534 of the family's 1533-position model. The record is from RNAcentral.